RNAcentral lists this ribosomal RNA (532 nucleotides) under Salmonella enterica. Its description in RNAcentral is "partial 23S ribosomal RNA". It matches the Rfam family "Bacterial large subunit ribosomal RNA", at positions 633 to 1165 of the family's 2925-position model. RNAcentral also lists the same sequence under 1 other name. Lineage: Bacteria; Pseudomonadati; Pseudomonadota; Gammaproteobacteria; Enterobacterales; Enterobacteriaceae. The record is from RNAcentral.
UUCUGUAGCAAGGUUAACCGUAUAGGGGAGCCGAAGGGAAACCGAGUCUUAACCGGGCGUUAAGUUGCAGGGUAUAGACCCGAAACCCGGUGAUCUAGCCAUGGGCAGGUUGAAGGUUGGGUAACACUAACUGGAGGACCGAACCGACUAAUGUUGAAAAAUUAGCGGAUGACCUGUGGCUGGGGGUGAAAGGCCAAUCAAACCGGGAGAUAGCUGGUUCUCCCCGAAAGCUAUUUAGGUAGCGCCUCGUGAAUUCAUCUCCGGGGGUAGAGCACUGUUUCGGCUAGGGGGCCAUCCCGGCUUACCAACCCGAUGCAAACUGCGAAUACCGGAGAAUGUUAUCACGGGAGACACACGGCGGGUGCUAACGUCCGUCGUGAAGAGGGAAACAACCCAGACCGCCAGCUAAGGUCCCAAAGUCAUGGUUAAGUGGGAAACGAUGUGGGAAGGCCCAGACAGCCAGGAUGUUGGCUUAGAAGCAGCCAUCAUUUAAAGAAAGCGUAAUAGCUCACUGGUCGAGUCGGCCUGCGCG